GCUUUCAGAAGGAGCCAGCGCUACACAUUAGAACUGCUUUCAGCUGUUUGAGAGAACUUGUCGGCAGUACGAUAAACUGCGAAAACGUGAGGCUUUCCUGGAGCAGUUCCGUAAGGAAGACAUUUUUAAGGACAACUUUGAUGAACUGGAUAAUUCAAGGGAAAUUGUGCAGCAGUUAAUAGAUGAGUACCAUGCAGCUACUCGUCCAGACUACAUCUCUUGGGGAACCCAGGAUAAAUAAAAGGCCCUAUAAGGGUUAAGAGCUUGAGUACAAGGAGUGACAGUCCUGAGAGAGAACACAAUCCUUAACUCUAAAUACCACUGUCCUCCAAGUCAAAAGACAUUAAAACCUGGAAAGUAACAAGCAUUACCUUAAAGAGCAAGAGAAAUAUACAAAACAUGUAACAGUUCUGUUGUCGAGACCGUUGUUGCCUCCCAUUUCAUCUGUGCAGUUUCUGGAUGAUUUGUUAUUUGGGCCUUUUCACUUGUGUGUUUAUGUGCUACAUUUUAGCAUGUAACAGUAGGGAUAUAUAGUUAAUUUAUAUUCAUAUUGUUUAUUGGAGUAAAUUGCUUUCACUCACCGCUUACUAUUAUUUGCCUGCACUCUGGUUGGGGGACACCAUACUGUUUUAGCCAGAAAGUGCUUCGAUGCUGGUAGCAUAGUGCUCGCUAGGAGCGUUUUCUGGCCAAAAUGAUAUUCCCCAAUCAGACUACAGGCUCUGUUAGCUGGCACCUCUGGUCGGGAAAACUGUUUUGCUACAAUAGGUGCCUUUUAAUAACAUUGCUUAGUUCCACAGAAUUUCCUUGCUAUAAAUGUUAUGUUUUCUUUCGCACUUAUUUUGAUAUUCCAUAUUAAAAAAUCUAAAAAGCA
Long non-coding RNA from Xenopus tropicalis (tropical clawed frog), 871 nucleotides. RefSeq lists it as uncharacterized. Lineage: Eukaryota; Metazoa; Chordata; Amphibia; Anura; Pipidae. The record is from RefSeq and is a predicted model, not a curated record. The transcript is spliced from 2 exons.